GACGAACGCUGGCGGCGUGCUUAACACAUGCAAGUCGAACGGAAAGGCCCUGCUUUUGUGGGGUGCUCGAGUGGCGAACGGGUGAGUAACACGUGAGUAACCUGCCCUUUACUUUGUGAUAACUUCAGGAAACUGGGGCUAAUACCGGAUAGGAGCUCCUGCUGCAUGGUGGGGGUUGGAAAGUUUCGGCGGUUGGGGAUGGACUCGCGGCUUAUCAGCUUGUUGGUGGGGUAGUGGCUUACCAAGGCUUUGACGGGUAGCCGGCCUGAGAGGGUGACCGGCCACAUUGGGACUGAGAUACGGACCAGACUCCUACGGGAGGCAGCAGUGGGGAAUAUUGCACAAUGGGCGGAAGCCUGAUGCAGAAACGCCGCGUGCGGGAUGACGGCCUUCGGGUUGUAAACCGCUUUCGCCUGUGACGAAGCGUGAGUGACGGUAAUGGGUAAAGAAGCACCGGCUAACUACGUG
RNAcentral lists this ribosomal RNA (468 nucleotides) under uncultured bacterium. RNAcentral describes it as "partial 16S ribosomal RNA". It matches the Rfam family "Bacterial small subunit ribosomal RNA", at positions 28 to 507 of the family's 1533-position model. The record is from RNAcentral.